GCUGGGCGUGGUAGUGCACGCCUGUGAUCCCAGCUACUAGGGAAGCUGAGGCAGGAGGAUUGCUUGAAACCAGGGGACAGAGGUUGUAAUGAGCCGAGAUCAUGCCACUGCACUCCGGCCUGGGUGACAGAGCAAGAUUCUGUCUCAA
This 148-nucleotide non-coding RNA is filed under the name Homo sapiens (human). Lineage: Eukaryota; Metazoa; Chordata; Mammalia; Primates; Hominidae. The record is from Rfam by way of RNAcentral.